RNAcentral lists this ribosomal RNA (1767 nucleotides) under Saccharibacillus alkalitolerans. Its description in RNAcentral is "partial 23S ribosomal RNA". It matches the Rfam family "Bacterial large subunit ribosomal RNA", at positions 392 to 2156 of the family's 2925-position model. Lineage: Bacteria; Bacillati; Bacillota; Bacilli; Caryophanales; Paenibacillaceae. The record is from RNAcentral.
CCCUCCGAGACGGAUCCCGAGUAGUGCGGGGCACGUGAAACCCCGUAUGAAUCCGGCAGGACCAUCUGCCAAGGCUAAAUACUCCCUGGUGACCGAUAGCGAAGCAGUACCGUGAGGGAAAGGUGAAAAGGACCUCGGAAGAGGAGUGAAACAGAACCUGAAACCGUGCGCUUACAAAAAGUCAGAGCCCAAUUAAGGGGUGAUGGCGUGCCUUUUGUAGAAUGAACCGGCGAGUUACGUUUGCAUGCAAGGUUAAGGUGAGAAGCCGGAGCCGCAGCGAAAGCGAGUCUGAAUAGGGCGACUGAGUAUGCAGGCGUAGACCCGAAACCGGGUGAUCUACCCCUGUCCAGGGUGAAGGUGCGGUAACACGCACUGGAGGCCCGAACCCACGUACGUUGAAAAGUGCGGGGAUGAGGUGGGGGUAGCGGAGAAAUUCCAAUCGAACCCGGAGAUAGCUGGUUCUCCCCGAAAUAGCUUUAGGGCUAGCCUCGGAUGAAGAGUUGUGGAGGUAGAGCACUGAUUGGGUGCGGGGCCCGCCAAGGGUUACCAAGUCCAGUCAAACUCCGAAUGCCAUCAACUUAUAUCCGGGAGUCAGACAGUGAGUGCUAAGAUCCAUUGUCAAAAGGGAAACAGCCCAGACCAUCGAUUAAGGUCCCCAAGUGUGUGUUAAGUGGGAAAGGAUGUGGAGUUGCCCAGACAACCAGGAUGUUGGCUUAGAAGCAGCCACCAUUUAAAGAGUGCGUAAUAGCUCACUGGUCGAGUGACUCUGCGCCGAAAAUGUAACGGGGCUAAACACACCACCGAAAUCAUGGCUUGAUGCUUAUGCAUCAGGGGUAGGGGAGCGUUGAAUACGGAUUGAAGGUGUACCGGAAGGAGCGCUGGACUGUAUUCAAGUGAGAAUGCCGGUAUGAGUAACGAAAAGAUCAGUGAGAAUCUGAUCCGCCGAAAACCCAAGGGUUCCUGAGGAAGGCUCGUCCGCUCAGGGUUAGUCGGGACCUAAGGCGAGGCCGAAAGGCGUAGUCGAUGGACAACAGGUGGAUAUUCCUGUACCGCCGUAAACCGUUACGAGCAAUGGAGUGACGCAGGAGGGAAGGGACGCGGACUGAUGGAUGUCCGUCCAAGCAGUAAGGCUGGUGCGUAGGCAAAUCCGCGCAUCGCAAGGCUGAGCUGUGAUGGGGAGCGAAAAUUACAGUAGCGAAGGUCCUGGGCUCACACUGCCAAGAAAAGCUUCUAGCCAGGUGAAGGCGCCCGUACCGCAAACCGACACAGGUGGGUGGGAAGAGUAUUCUAAGGCGCGCGGAAGAACUCUCGUUAAGGAACUCGGCAAAAUGACCCCGUAACUUCGGGAGAAGGGGUGCCCCGGUAGUGUGAAUAGCACGAGGGGGCCGCAGUGAAAAGGCCCAAGCGACUGUUUAGCAAAAACACAGGUCUGUGCGAAGCCGCAAGGCGAAGUAUACGGGCUGACGCCUGCCCGGUGCUGGAAGGUUAAGAGGAGGGGUUAGCGGCAACGCGAAGCUCUGAAUUGAAGCCCCAGUAAACGGCGGCCGUAACUAUAACGGUCCUAAGGUAGCGAAAUUCCUUGUCAGGUAAAUUCUGACCCGCACGAAUGGCGUAACGACUUGGGCGCUGUCUCAACGAGAGAUCCGGUGAAAUUUUAAUACCUGUGAAGAUGCAGGUUACCCGCGACAAGACGGAAAGACCCCAUGGAGCUUUACUGCAGCUUGAUAUUGGACUGGGGUGCGAUUUGUACAGCAUAGGUGGGAGCCU